CCUGCACACUAUUAAAACUUGGAGCUGAUGUUGGCUCUCGAGUGUCGGAAGUGUGCUACAGUAACACGGCAGGAUUUUCGCUGACACCGUUAGAGCUUCUGGCUCUGUGAGCGGAGUUUGAUAGUAAUCGCUGCCACAUGU
Molecule: small nucleolar RNA, 141 nt
Organism: Bombina bombina (fire-bellied toad)
Lineage: Eukaryota; Metazoa; Chordata; Amphibia; Anura; Bombinatoridae
Source: RefSeq, a predicted model, not a curated record